This 400-nucleotide ribosomal RNA is filed under the name uncultured bacterium. RNAcentral's name for it is "bacterial SSU rRNA". It matches the Rfam family "Bacterial small subunit ribosomal RNA", at positions 355 to 748 of the family's 1533-position model. The record is from RNAcentral.
UGGGGAAUUUUCCACAAUGGGCGAAAGCCUGAUGGAGCAACGCCGCGUGUGUGAUGAAGGUCUUCGGAUCGUAAAGCACUUUCGACCGGGACGAAAAAACGCUGGCUAACAUCCAGCGUCCUGACGGUACCGGGAGAAGAAGCACCGGCUAACUCUGUGCCAGCAGCCGCGGUAAUACAGAGGGUGCAAGCGUUGUUCGGAAUUAUUGGGCGUAAAGCGCGUGUAGGCGGCUUAUCAAGUCAGAUGUGAAAGCCCUCGGCUCAACCGAGGAAGUGCGUCUGAAACUGAUGAGCUUGAGUACCGGAGAGGGUAGCGGAAUUCCGCAAGUAGAGGUGAAAUUCGUAGAGAUGCGGAGGAACACCGGUGGCGAAGGCGGCUACCUGGACGGUCACUGACGCUG